This 492-nucleotide ribosomal RNA is filed under the name uncultured bacterium. RNAcentral describes it as "bacterial SSU rRNA". It matches the Rfam family "Bacterial small subunit ribosomal RNA", at positions 28 to 521 of the family's 1533-position model. The record is from RNAcentral.
GAUGAACGCUAGCGGCAGGCCUAACACAUGCAAGUCGAGGGGUGGAGUUCUUCGGAACUUGAGACCGGCGCACGGGUGCGUAACGCGUAUGCAAUCUACCUUAUACAGGGGAAUAGCCCAGAGAAAUUUGGAUUAAUGCCCCAUAGUGUUAUCGAAUCGCAUGGUUUGAUAACUAAAGUUCCAACGGUAUAAGAUGAGCAUGCGUCCCAUUAGUUAGUUGGUAAGGUAACGGCUUACCAAGACAAUGAUGGGUAGGGGUCCUGAGAGGGAGAUCCCCCACACUGGUACUGAGACACGGACCAGACUCCUACGGGAGGCAGCAGUGAGGAAUAUUGGUCAAUGGGCGCAAGCCUGAACCAGCCAUGCCGCGUGCAGGAAGACGGUCCUAUGGAUUGUAAACUGCUUUUAUACAGGAAGAAACACCUCCACGUGUGGAGGCUUGACGGUACUGUAGGAAUAAGGAUCGGCUAACUCCGUGCCAGCAGCCGCGGU